Molecule: long non-coding RNA, 670 nt
Organism: Ochotona princeps (American pika)
Lineage: Eukaryota; Metazoa; Chordata; Mammalia; Lagomorpha; Ochotonidae
Exons: 2
Source: RefSeq, a predicted model, not a curated record
ACAUCUUCCCAUAGCCAACCAGCCACACCUCAAGGGAGCCAUUGUGACACCAGGGCAAUGGGCCGAUUCAAAACCAGAGCCUCACUCAGGAGAGCAGCCCUGCAUCUUUACAAUCCAUAUCUUGCAAGGCUGCUCAGGAUCCAGUGCCAGCACCCUCUCUGGCUGCCACUGACUCACUCUGUCACCCAUGGCUGAGUCAGUCCUCCUGUCUGGGACCAUGAGACUACUCAUCUCGGAGGGCUCUUGUGAGGAACCACUCACAUCGUUAUGCAGACUCUGGUUGACGCACAACGCCUCAGGAAAUUUUCCACAAAUUGGACCAUCCAGUGUUUGAUGCACCUAUCUUCAGAGUUACAAUCUUAAACAAUUGAGCAAGAUGCUCUGCCCCCCUGGAAAUUCCAAGCUCCAAGUGCAGUUUACACAAAGAUGCUUUUGGGGCCUCCCCACCUUCUGCUUCUCACAGUUUUGUAAAACAAGGCAGCCAGGUUACUGGGCCUGAUAGUGCGUCAAGGUCUUUCCGUGAUUAUCCGUAAGGAACAGUGUGCCAUGGGUCACCGCCAUCCUUGGCAGCAAUGAAGAGAAGCUAAUGAAUUCCAUAGAUGAGAAACAAAUGCAAGGAGAGAGGCAAAAGCACUGGUUAAAACCUGAAUAAACAAUGGCACAGAAAUGA